Molecule: long non-coding RNA, 4696 nt
Organism: Erpetoichthys calabaricus (reedfish)
Lineage: Eukaryota; Metazoa; Chordata; Cladistia; Polypteriformes; Polypteridae
Exons: 2
Source: RefSeq, a predicted model, not a curated record
UGUCACCCUCUCGAUCAGUUUUCCAGCGCGGUUUGCUGUAAGAAAGACGCGAACCUUCUGUAACUUCUCAGAGGUUGCCGCUAGCCAGCUUUUGUGCUUCACCACCAUGUAACAAGCCAUAAGCUUUUCAUUAAGAACAAGAUCAAGAUUACACUCCUAUUGGUUCGUGAGUAGUCAUGUCACAAGACGGACACAAGUCUUUGCAUUUUAUAUAUAUAUAUAUAUAUAUAUAUAUAUACAAAUAGAUAAGGAAUUUAUUGAUAAAAAUGAAAAAACAGAAUACUUAAAAACAUAAUAAGGAUCUGUGUAAACGUUUAGCCACAGUGAGCAAGUCCCAAUACGUGAAAAUCCGAAGAUGCUAAAUUUCCAGCAAAACAUGAAAGUUGAGAUGAGGGCAGCAGUUACAAUUCCCCACUCUCUCUUCUCCCAAAUGAACUGCAAGGAACUCACUUUCACAGCCUGCCUUUAAAGGCUUGGGGGGCGCAGUUCCUUAGCAGUGAGAUAAUGGUGGCCCCACCGCUUGGAGGGGAGACACCCACAAAACACAAGAAAGAUCGGAGAACGAGAUUGUCCACAUAGAAACGAAAUAAUAGACAAAUGCAAUAAAACUAAGAAUGUGGAAUUGGAUAAAUAAUAGGGGGUGCUCUACAAUAGCAAACCCUGCGCUCUGAUCUCCAAAAGUCCUACGAAAAGGCAGAGAAUAUCAAAUCAUAUAUGAGCCAAAUCAAAAAUGAACAAAAGAAAUUUAAACAUAAUGAUAAUAUCCCUUAUCUACCCCUAACCUAACCCUUAUCUAUCUACAUUCAAGAACACAGUAAUGUCCCUUAUGGUUGGAAUGUUCCUGAGGUUGACCAGCCCAAGAUUUGAACUCAGAUCUCUCAAUAGCCAUACGCAGUUCCCAAGUACCAUCCCAUAAUUUAAUUUCUCCGUAAAUAUUCCUUAUCCCAAAAUAUAUGAAGCCGUGAAAUGUCAGAAUGAGAGCAGCAGAGAUAUCGGACAACUGCCGAACAAGAUUAUUUGAUUUAGCCAGUCCCAGUACUCCUCAUGGAGGACUUGCGUCACAUUACGGCUUUGAUGGACUUGUUCCAUAAGAACAUUUGUGACAGCUGAACUGAAGAAACCCCAUGAAGUAACACUUAACUAACAAUUCCUGUAUUGACUGAGCAGUGCAAUUAAUAGUAGGAGUAGAAUGUUUUAGCAUCGUUGAAUAGAAAGCCUGAGAGGUGGUAGAGGAGGAAGAAGAAGAAGGAGUGUACGGCCAAAGAAAAAGGGGUAAAGAGAAGGAAGAUGAGAAAGAGAAAGAUUGAGAAAAAAAGAUGGUAGUGGUGGUAGAAGAUGGGCACCAAGCCGGGGAAGGUAAUUGCACCAGAAAGCCAAGCAUCGAGAACAAAGUCAGUCUGUCUGUUUGAGGAGACCCCAUCCGUCUCCAUUCUUAAAGUUGUGCUCGUCCGAGCUUGCUCCCUACAGAGACUGAAAAGGGAGGUUCAUUGUGGAUUUCCCCACACACCAAAGCUAUUUCUCUCUGGAAUGUAAUGUCAGUUACAUCCCAAAGGUCACAACAAGAUGGAGGACUUUUCUCUCUCUGUCCGUCUGGUGACUUGUCAAUCUGCUCUGCAGAGUGUUGGCACCGCAGGUCUAUUCCCAAGACCUCCUCAUCGAUAAGUCCAUAGGGGAAUACGGAUUCUUGCCAUUUUAGUUCCAAAUCGUCAUGCACAGGAUCACAAGUGUGAUGAUCACGCAGGAGCUUUCAAGAUGACUCACUUUUCACUUGACUCCAAUGUGGCCGAAAUACUGAGCUGCACCUUCAAUUCACUCGCAUUAGCCGGGAUCAGGCUCAGGUUUUUCAUUUUAUUUAACUUAAAUUAAUACAAAUACUAACUGUAGAUGUCUCUUUUAUCACCAAUAACACCCAGGACAGAUAGCAAGUGCCAACUAACCUGUUAAUGAAGUAUGUGUAACCCACCAAUGGUUUCUUCAGUUUGGCUGUCCCAGUGUUAAUAUCCGUUGACUGCAGCUAUGACAAAAAAAAUAAUUACCGUAUAUACUCGCGAAUAAGUCGAGGCUUUUUACCGUAUAAUUUCUGGUAUUUUAUAAUGUCGGCCAUAUAAGUCAAAUGCAGAAUACUCGUGCUAUUGGUCCAGCAGAUUACGAUAUGCUAAAGCUUGCCCACCUGAGAGAGUAACCACUGAGCACGCGGCCUUUGUUUUCUAUGUAUUGUGCCUACGUGACCACACGGUAAUACCUGAACUAAUCCGAACUGACGUUUGCACUGAUUUGUGUUUUUUGUAUCCUCAUACACCUUUAAAGUUUAUCUACGAUGGAGCAUUUGAUCAGAAACGUCAUUGAAGCAGCGAAAGAAAUUGAUAUUUGCACUGCUGCAACAAAAUUCGCUGUGUCUGAGAAACUGAUGCGAGAGAGAUUGGAGGAGGCAAGAAGAUGUUAAAAAAAAAAUGAAUUAAUUGUCCCAUUUUUGAACGAACGUAUAAAUCGGGGUCUGAUUUUAUGAUCGAUUUGUUGGGUUUCACGAUCCAACUUAUACGUGACUAUAUACAGUAUCAUAUAACCGAGAUCAGGUUAAUUCUUUAUGUGGAUUGUAAUCUAAUGAGGAUUACAUUACCGCUCUUGAACCCUCAUCCUCACUGUGGACUGGACACAAGUGACCUGGAGCGCCUUCCAUUACUGUUAUCUGUAGGGAAUGAUGCUGUCAGAAAGUCAAAAAUCAAGCAGAAUUACCAGCAUCAGCAAUGGGUAUCCCACUACUGACACCACUGUAACCAACAUCAGAUUCUUCCUUAUCACCCAAUGUGCUUUGUCACCCUGUGCAGAGCUAAAUUGUUCGGAGUAUAAUCUGAGCGUCAAUCACUGCAGACAUCUGUUGGCGCACUGCUCUCCAUGGUUCACACAUUAAACAGUAUUUCAGUCUUUCCCAGUCAAAUUCACAUGGGUAUCCCCCUACUGACACCACUGUAACCAACAUCAGAUUCUUACCUAUCAUCCACUGUGCACCGUCACCCUAUGAUGAGCUACCUUGGUCCGAGUCUAACCUGAGCGUCAAUCACUGCAAACAUCUGCUGGCGCACUGCUCUCUCUGGUUCACACGUUAAACAGUAUUUCAGUCUUUCCCAGUCAAAUCCACAUGGGUAUCCCACUACUGACACCACUGUAACCAAGAUUAGAUUCUUCCUUAUCUACCCUGAGCAUCAAUUACUGCGGACAUCUGUUGGCACACUGCUCUCCAUGGUUCACACAUUAAACAGUAUUUCAGUCUUUCCCAUUCAAAUUCACAUGGAUAUGCCACUACUGACACCAUUGUGGUUAUAAUUUUGAAUACUAAUAAAGUUUAUCUAAUCUAAUAAUCAGAUUCGCCCUAAAAAUUUGUUUGGCUGUCACUUGUGAUUACAAUGUAGCCUUCAUGCUUACAACUCUGUAGUGGACAAUAAACACCCCUGGUUUGGGGGGGCGUGAUGGAUUGUGGGUAUAGGACCACCCGCACCAACUAACAGACUUUUAUGUCAAACAUUGUCAUAUUUUACUUUGCUUAUAAUCCCCAUCCCCACUACACCCGCCACCGUAGAUUGGGUUUGCUCUUAGUAUCCUCCAUCUGGGAGUGAACCCAGCCUCUCGUUCUCUUAACCCAAAAAUUCAAUCCAAAAUAAAAACAAUAUAAAGAGGAUCUGUUGUAUUCCAGUGAGCAUGCGCGCUUAUUCAUUAUAAGCAACGCCGGAUUCUCUCGCACUCGCAUUUACCAUUCAUGGUGAAGAACAUCCCACUGCUGACACCACUGUUACCCAGAAUGACUCAUUCUCAGCCUUUGGAUUCAAACCCCAGUCUUGCGCUACCUGUUUGAUUCUCUUUAGGACUGGCAUUUGUAAGUUUGAGUCUAAGUGUAUCUAAUAAAUAUGCGCACAUCUCGAUAGAAAAAUAAUACGAACAAAGGGCUUAUACACCAGAGGCUGAGAGGAGAUGCAAAAGCGGAACCAUAUUAUACAAGUGGAAUGAUAAAUCUGAAAGGCAGUUAAACAAAAUAGAGACAUGAAACGCACUAUAUAAGAGCAAUGUAAAAUAGAGAUAUGAAAGACACUACAUAAAGUAAAGCUAAAAUUAAAUAAAUGCUACAUAAAAUCCAAGUAUAGCUAGACAGAUCAAGUGACGGAUAUGAAAGGCACUUUAUGAAACACACUUAACGUCAGAGGCCGUACCUAACGCCUUCAACACACCCGAUUGAUCAGACCCGAUCAGUCGCCAACAGCACCGUCUUGUAACUUUUCUCCCAUUCUGCGUCACGAAGCCUGUGGCGUAACGGGAGCCGAUGUAGUUGUCGGACAGCUCAUCCGUCAUGGCCGCCGGGUGUUUUGACAACCAGUCAGCCUCUAGGUAGGGCAGGAGAAUAAAAGUAAAGGUUGUUCUGACCAAACUUGACUUUCCUUUCGUUGUACUUCUUAUGUAUUUUUAAUAAAAAGACAAGCCAGUGUUUGGGGAGAGACGCGGUUGAGAGACGCAGCGUGCGUGUCCACUGUCCCCCCCGAGGUGUGUAUAUUGUUAAACAGUGUGCCGUCGCUCCUUGCACAAUGUCGCUAUGCGAGCAUGUAUGUAGGGAGGGAGGGGGGGCGGUGUUGGCUUUUCUGUUUGUUUCAUUUUGGGGGUUUUUGGCGAUGGGUGAAAAUGUUGUAAAUACAAUAAAAAUUGUCAAACUGGA